AGAGUUUGAUCCUGGCUCAGGACGAACGCUGGCGGCGUGCUUCACACAUGCAAGUCGAACGGAAAGGCUCCUUCGGGAGUGCUCGAGUGGCGAACGGGUGAGUAACACGUGGGUAACCUGCCCCCAUCUCUGGGAUAACUGCUGGAAACGGUGGCUAAUACCGGAUACUACUGCUGGUCGCAUGGCCUGGUGGUGGAAAGUUUUUCGGCUGAGGAUGGGCUCGCGGCCUAUCAGCUUGUUGGUGGGGUGAUGGCCUACCAAGGCGACGACGGGUAGCCGGCCUGAGAGGGCGACCGGCCACACUGGGACUGAGACACGGCCCAGACUCCUACGGGAGGCAGCAGUGGGGAAUAUUGCACAAUGGGCGAAAGCCUGAUGCAGCGACGCCGCGUGAGGGAUGACGGCCUUCGGGUUGUAAACCUCUUUCAGCAGGGACGAAGGGUGACUGACGGUACCUGCAGAAGAAGCGCCGGCCAACUACGUGCCAGCAGCCGCGGUAAUAC
This 503-nucleotide ribosomal RNA is filed under the name uncultured bacterium. RNAcentral describes it as "bacterial SSU rRNA". It matches the Rfam family "Bacterial small subunit ribosomal RNA", at positions 8 to 526 of the family's 1533-position model. The record is from RNAcentral.